This 440-nucleotide ribosomal RNA is filed under the name uncultured bacterium. Its description in RNAcentral is "partial 16S ribosomal RNA". It matches the Rfam family "Bacterial small subunit ribosomal RNA", at positions 338 to 795 of the family's 1533-position model. The record is from RNAcentral.
CCUACGGGGUGCAGCAGUGGGGAAUAUUGCACAAUGGGGGAAACCCUGAUGCAGCGACGCCGCGUGAGCGAAGAAGUAUUUAGGUAUGUAACGCUCUAUCAGCAGGGAAGAAAAUGACGGUACCUGAGUAAGAAGCUCCGGCUCAAUACGUGCCAGCAGCCGCGGUAAUACGUAUGGAGCAAGCGUGAUCCGGAUUUACUGGGCGUAAAGGGAGCGUAGGCGGCACGCCAAGUCGGAUGUGAAAUACCGGGGCCCAACCCCGGGGCUGCAUUGGAAACUGGCAGGCUGGAGUGCCGGAGAGGCAGGCGGAAGUCCUGGUGUUGCGGUGAAAUGCGUAGAUAGUAGGAGGAACACCAGGGGCGAAGGCGGCCUGCUGGACGGUGACUGACGCUGAGGCGCGAAAGCGUGGGGAGCAAACAGGAUUAGAUACCCGAGUAGUC